UCCUGGAAACGGGUGGUAAUGCCGGAUGCUCCGACUCCUCGCAUGGGGUGUCGGGAAAGAUUUCAUCGGUAUGGGAUGGGGUCGCGUCCUAUCAGGUAGUCGGCGGGGUAACGGCCCACCGAGCCUACGACGGGUAGCCGGCCUGAGAGGGCGACCGGCCACAUUGGGACUGAGAUACGGCCCAGACUCCUACGGGAGGCAGCAGUGGGGAAUAUUGCACAAUGGGCGCAAGCCUGAUGCAGCGACGCCGCGUGCAGGAUGACGGCCUUCGGGUUGUAAACCGCUUUUGAUCGGGAGCAAGCCUUCGGGUGAGUGUACCUUUCGAAUAAGCACCGGCUAACUACGUGCCAGCAGCCGCGGUAAUACGUAGGGUGCAAGCGUUAUCCGGAAUUAUUGGGCGUAAAGGGCUCGUAGGCGGUUCGUCGCGUCCGGUGUGAAAGUCCAUCGCUUAACGGUGGAUCUGCGCCGGGUACGGGCGGGCUGGAGUGCGGUAGGGGAGACUGGAAUUCCCGGUGUAACGGUGGAAUGUGUAGAUAUCGGGAAGAACACC
RNAcentral lists this ribosomal RNA (550 nucleotides) under uncultured Bifidobacterium sp. RNAcentral's name for it is "bacterial SSU rRNA". It matches the Rfam family "Bacterial small subunit ribosomal RNA", at positions 148 to 710 of the family's 1533-position model. Lineage: Bacteria; Bacillati; Actinomycetota; Actinomycetes; Bifidobacteriales; Bifidobacteriaceae. The record is from RNAcentral.